GCUGGGCCUUUUGCUGCUGGAAGCACUCAUGCCCCACUUAUUGACCCACAUCUCGGGGGGCCUGGGAGAGACGGAGCUACACCUCCCACUACCUACCCUCCCAGUUCCCAGUGCAGCCACUGACCAUCUACUCCUGCUCUGCCCUGUCCUAGUGUGCAAACAUGUCAGCACUGAAGAGGAUGAGGAACAGAAUGGAGGGCACUGACAAGGAAUGUGCUUUCGAGAAACUCAUGGAGCUCCUGGUGCUGGCCGUCCAGAAGGGUGACCGAGCCUACGUGAGCAGCCUGCUAAAAUUACAGGGCCUUCCUCUCCAUAGAAGAGGUCCUGGCGCAGGUAACCAAAAGAUAUGGAGAUAACCACAGAUUUGAUGCUGGCGAUGGAAGAGGCCAGGAAUGCUUGAAAAACUCCAUCUCCUGCCUCCUGCUGGCCUGGCUGGAAGAGCACCGGGCUGAUUUGUGCCGGCACCCAGACUUUUCCAGCCUCAAGCACCUGCUGGCCUUUGCGCAGGUCGCCCUGCCCGGGUCUCCCCUGGAGAGGCGUGCUCACAUCCUCCUUUCUCAGUUGCAGAACUCGGAGCCCCGUGAGACCAAGACAGAGGCUCCCAUGUCAGACCCAGAGUUGCAAAGAGCUGCAAUGCCCAUCCCAGAGCCAGUUCCAUCGAUGGCAGGAGACAUCAUGCCAGCUCCAGAGCAGGAGGCACCUCUGGUACAACCUCCAGGGCCACAUGCAGAAGUAGAGCCACUGUGUGAUCCAGAGCUCCAGCCACCUACCCCA
Choloepus didactylus (southern two-toed sloth) is the source of this 774-nucleotide long non-coding RNA. RefSeq lists it as uncharacterized. The record is from RefSeq and is a predicted model, not a curated record. NCBI's taxonomy places the organism in Eukaryota, Metazoa, Chordata, Mammalia, Pilosa, Megalonychidae. The transcript is spliced from 4 exons.